GUUUUCUUCUAGGAUUUUUAUGGUUUUAGGUCUAACAUUGAAGUCUUCAAUCCAUCUUGAAUUAAUUUUUGUAUAAGUGUAAGGAAGUGAUCCAGUUUCAGCUUUCUACAUAUGGCUAGCCAGUUUUCCCAGCACCAUUUAUUAAACAGGGAAUCCUUUCCCCAUUGCUUGUUUUUGUCAGGUUUGUCAAAAAUCAGAUGGUUGUAGAUAAGCGGCAUUAUUUCUGAGGGCUCUGUUCUGUUCCAUUGAUCUGUAUCUCUGUUUUGGUACCGGUAACAUGCUGUUUUGGUUAGGCCCUGAGAAUGAUGCAGCCAGUCCUACACAUAUGUGCACACAUGCACGUGCACGCACACACACAAACACACAGAGACACUGAACACAGGUGUGUUCGGAGUAGGAGGAGUCCCUAUACUAUUUACUACUUGAAGGCAAAACUGUACCUGUUUACUGGUGUAUCCCGGAUAAUUCACCAGAUAGUUAGAGUGAAUGAAUGGAGAGAUGGUACUGAAUCUAUGUAUGAGGAACAAUGUAACAAAUCUGUCAGUGAGUUACCAGUACCUACACUGGGGGCAAAUCUGCUUAUUUGAUACCUUCACGGCAUCAGCAGCAUACCUUGCAAAAUACGUUUAUUUCGAGAGGCUGACAGCAGAAAUACUCUGUGGUAAGGUCACAAAAUUUAAUGAACACCACUGCUGAAAAUAGCUAGUUCUUUUAAUUUGCCUAUACUUAUGUAGUUACAGUUCACACUUUUCCUGAAGAUCAUUAUAAAUUUGCUGGUUAGUAGGAAGAUAAAUUAACCAAAUAAUUUGAUCUAGAUUAAAUUUAGUUCAACCCCAAAAUUUAAAUUGUCCCUUGAGGCAAAGCUUAGUUUCUGCAGGGGAAAAACGUUUAUGCCCUUAAUAAUCUAUUGUUUCUCCUGCUCCUUUCUUUAAAAUGUCAUGUGGGCCGGGCGCAGUGGCUCACUUUCUCUAGCUGGGCCAUCUGUCUAGUCCUUUUAUGUGGCAGUUCACCCCCAGCAUCUCCCCUAGCAGACCCAUUGGCUUCAAUUCAAAAUCUGCACCACCUAAGAAGGAAGAAUAGCAUGGGCAUACCAAACUGCAGGAGCUCCUCUCUCUAAGCCUGUUUGUUUCUGUGACUAUGCCCCAGGGUAGUGGGAACAAUGCCUCUUCUUUACCUUGAGGAGUAUCAUCACUGAUGUAAUAACACAUCUCCCUCUGUCUUGUAGUCUAAACCCAGAAAGGGCAAAGCCAAGACAUUUAUGUCUGGUUGCAACACUUCCUUUCGCUGUCUCCUUUCCUUCUCUCUCAUC
RNAcentral lists this long non-coding RNA (1309 nucleotides) under Homo sapiens (human). Its description in RNAcentral is "HSALNT0146139". The record is from RNAcentral. Lineage: Eukaryota; Metazoa; Chordata; Mammalia; Primates; Hominidae.